Molecule: long non-coding RNA, 648 nt
Filed under: Ananas comosus (pineapple)
Lineage: Eukaryota; Viridiplantae; Streptophyta; Magnoliopsida; Poales; Bromeliaceae
Description: long non-coding RNA (ACOM_LNC027385)
Source: RNAcentral
AAUUAUUUCUAGCGAUAUAACUACCACGUUCCACCCCUACCCCGUCGGUGCGCCUCUAAGGUGACACAAGACGAACUCAAUAAGCUUCAGAUCCAGUAGAGAAAACUCGGCGAAAAUCGGCGCAAAAGAUCAAUGGGGAGAAAACAGGUAGGGUUUAGGUAUAUUCGGAUUCUUCGUGAACUCGUACAACUUCGUCCAAUAUUUAUAAUUUAGGCAAGAAUCUUACUUCAACGCGUCAAAUCCGUGUAAAACAAGAUAAACUUAAGAUUAUACGGAUAAGAAUUAGAAUUAGAAUAAAGAUAAAACCAAAAAAUAAAAAAAAAAUAAAAAAAUGAACUAAAAUAAAAUAAAUCGGGUGUAUUUGCGGCCCGCCCGGCUCGUGGUCGUGCUGUGCGUGCGUUUAAACGAGAGUAUAACUCUCAUUUUCUCCCAAAUAACUAGCUUGAGUAAAGUAAUAUAUAAAUACCAUCAACACCUUUUUAGUUUUCAAUAUGAAACUAAACUUCAUACAUGAAAACUUUAGUUGGGCUUCCAAGCCAGGUCCAUUAAUAAUUAUUGGGCAUCUCAAGAUGUCUAACAAAUUUUAAAUCACAAAAAUUCAAUAAAAUCUAAUAUGGUAUAUAUGGUUCACAAAUUACUUAACUUUUU